Molecule: long non-coding RNA, 3092 nt
Organism: Helianthus annuus (common sunflower)
Lineage: Eukaryota; Viridiplantae; Streptophyta; Magnoliopsida; Asterales; Asteraceae
Exons: 9
Source: RefSeq, a predicted model, not a curated record
ACUAUGUAAUUAACUCUUUUAUAAAUAAUUAGCAUGUCAAAUACGACUAAAUUACUAUCAUAAUAAAAAUAAUAAUCUAACUUAGUGGUAUUUACCUACUUAAAUUCUCAUCAUAAUCACUUGACCUAAAUAUGUAGGUUAGAGUAACUUUAUAUUAAGAUGAAUGUUAGAUGUUUAUUUGUGUUUUUAUAUGCUUAUUUUUUCAUUUUUAUUUAAGCAAAACGAAUUUUGUUUCCAAUAUGAUUUGAUGUAGUGUUAACAUUAUGACAUUAAAUCUCCCGUUCAUUGGACGGGUAAAGUACUAGUUGAGAUGGAUGAGCUUCAAUGGUAAGGACUUCUAAAGGUCUCUAAAGACGUGUUAUCCAAGGGCUCAUUGUUGAUAGUCUAAGAUGAUGGCUGGAGAUGGUGAAUUUGACUAGGAGGGAGAGAAAAAAUGUUGAGAGGGUUGGUUAUUUGUGUUUAUUUAUUUUCUUAUUCAUCAUCUAAAGGGUAAUAUAGUAACUUUAAAAUGUCAACGACAUCCAUCAAUUUUAGAGAACAAAAAUAUGACGGUAAAUGUGAUGGUUGGACAAAUCUUAGAGACACUAUGAGUAAUUUUUGAAAUUUGAGAACCAAAAGUCAAAUUUCACCACAAAAUCGAUCCAUGUACUUUACUAUUGCUUCAAAAGGAAAAAAUACAAAAAACAAAAAUGUGUAGAUUGCCAUUUUUUUAUGGGUAGAUUUCUUUUAUUUUCUGCUGUUUGUUACACUUGAGUCCAAGACCGUAUUUGAAAAUUUUAUCGUUGCCAAUAGAACAGUGCUUCAUGACGGAAAUUAUCCUCCUUUAUAAGAAUAUUGUUUAAUUUUUGUAUGGUUUCAUUGGUCACUCUCUUUCUUAUAUACUAAUCAUGUCAUCUUAUAUUUAUGACAAAGACAAAUUAUUAAUGUGAUCAUCAUCUUAUAUUUACUGUAGGAAGAAUACACCUGCAAUUUUAUUUAACUAAUAUUUUAUUUAUUAUUAUAAUUAUUAUUUAUUUUUAUACAUGUAAUCUAUAAUAUAUAAUACAUCUCCCAUGUACAAAAAGGUAAUUUCCUUAAAAAUUUUAAAAUGUCAGCCGAAAAAUCAAGUUUAAACACCUAAUUUUUUACCAUUUUCUUCCAACUCUACCCCUACUCUUUUCAUAUACAAGAUAUAACAAGCCAUUUAGACGCUUGGAGAAUUCUGGUACAAAACUCUUCAUUGGCAAUCAAUCGUGUGAAUCCCAAUCGUCUCUGCCUUUCCUUGUUCCAGGUUAGGAUUUCUUUAUAUACCAAUUUCAUGAUCACUUGAAUCUCUGUGAUGUUAACGAUGGUCAACAUCGUAAUGGUUACGGUGAGUAUGAUCGACGUUAUGCCUCUACGCUUACCACCAAAGGUAUUGGACAUCUGGUCCGCAAGGGUACUGGUGGAAGAUCGUCUGUUAGGUAUACAUUUACUCUGCAAUUAAUCAGUUAUCCAGUUAAUUAAUUUGUGCAUCUCGAUAACAUUAUUAUCAUGAACCUGUUCAAUUUGUUCAGUUAUUAGUUGUCAAUUGACUCAAUUUAGUGAGAAUUGUGUUAAUUUUGUGAUUGAGCUGUGAUGGAUAGUUAGGGUUUGGAUUUGGGGGAUUAUGGGGUUGAAAGUGUUGGGGGAGGGUAAGGUGGAGAGGUUGAAGCGGUCGGUUGGGUAUUCGAAUGCUAGGGGUAAUAAAAUGAAGCUUUGGAUGGUUAGGGCUACUACUGUGGUGUUGUUGUGGACUUGUUUGGUUCAGUUGAUGGCAUUAGGGGAGUCUUGGGGACCUAGGGUUUUGAAAGGGUGGCCUUCGCAUGAUUCAGUUAUUUCGGGUGCUGCUUUGGAUGUUAAGUUGUUGCCAGUUGUUCCGGUUAGAGAGCUUCCACCCAAGAGGUUAUUCUGGAGGCAAAAAGGGAAGCUUCCAUCAGAUGCUUGCAGAUGCAAAUGCACGAAACAACAAUUCUGGACCAAAUGUUCAGAUGCCAGUGCCUGGAAAUCCCGUAGUUUCUAUGCCAUCCCGUAGUUUCUAUGCCUGCUACCAAUCUUAAUAUGGGGAUGGACCUGUGGAACCCAUCUGCUGGAUCCAGGUCUAUUAAAAUGCAACCAAAUCACUCUGGUGUCUCGCAACCAGGGGUUCCACCACAAAUAAUGGUUGAUCAGUGGGGUCAGGAUGAGAGAGAAUUUAAUAGGCAGAAGAAGCAGUCCAAUAGAGAGUCAGCUAGAAGAUCAAGGCUGCGCAAGCAGGCUGAGUGUGAAGGGCUACAGGCAAGAGUAGAGACACUAAACAACGAGAACCACUCACUCAGAGAUGAACUACAGAUUUCUGAGGAAUGUGGGAAGCUUACAGCUGAAAAUGAUUCAAUAAAGGAUGAAUUAACCAGGUUUUUUGGACCUGAAGCUGUUUCGAAACUCGAUGCACAUCUUCAAUCUCGAACGAACGAAGGUGAAAGUUGAUAUCAUGACAACAAGUUACUUAUUAAGCUUAUACAAUUAGGUCAACAACCAUUUCCGAGUUAUCAAAAGGAAUCGACUUUAGGAUUGGAUUAAGGAAGUGCAGCACUCUUAUACACUCCAUAACCAAGGUUAUUGUGACAUUAACAAAGAGUGCAGGUUCUCCACAAGCAGAGAGAUAAGAUUAAGAUAUGGGGGAUAUCUACGCAUUGGACUUCGAUGGAGUUCUUUGCGAUAGUGUCGGAGAAACCGCCAUCUCCUGUGUUAAGGCAGCAGCCAAACUGAGAUGGCCUGAAGUGUUUGCUACUGUCGAUUCAUCACUGGAAGAUUGGUUUGUUGAUCAAAUGCGAAUAGUACGCUUGUUUUUAGCUCAAAAUUCUUUUAUUUAUUGUUAGAAUGGUUAGUUUAUAUGCCUUAUAUUGCAUCUCAUAUUGUGGCAAUUGCGGAAGUCAACUGCAGAAUUAAAACGUUGUGAACAAGAAAUUCAGUUAUGUUAGUUAGUUAGUUAGUUAGUUAGUUAGUUAGUUAGUUAGUUAGUUAGAAAACGGUUAAAUAACUUUCGUAUUGUAAGGGUAUAAAUACCCACUACUGUCUUCAUUUGUAUGUGUGAAAUUAGAAGUUUACAUUGUAUA